This 305-nucleotide ribosomal RNA is filed under the name uncultured bacterium. RNAcentral describes it as "bacterial SSU rRNA". It matches the Rfam family "Bacterial small subunit ribosomal RNA", at positions 335 to 636 of the family's 1533-position model. The record is from RNAcentral.
UGUCCUACGGGAGGCAGCAGUGAGGAAUAUUGGUCAAUGGGCGGAAGCCUGAACCAGCCAAGUCGCGUGAGGGAAUAAGGCCCUACGGGUCGUAAACCUCUUUUGCCGGGGAGCAAGGGCGGGGACGUGUCCCGGCCCGGAGAGUACCCGGAGAAAAAGCAUCGGCUAACUCCGUGCCAGCAGCCGCGGUAAUACGGAGGAUGCGAGCGUUAUCCGGAUUUACUGGGUGUAAAGGGGGCGCAGACGGCGAGGCAAGCCAGGAGUGAAAGCCCGGGGCCCAACCCCGGGGCGGCUCUUGGACCGGG